ACCAGCUUUGCCAAGAUAGGUGAAAAACAGUUGAAUAUAUUUUUUUAUUUAAAACACAAUUAUCUGUAUUGUCUUAGUUUCCUUUCAUCUGCUAACCCUAGACAAUAUAAUUUAGUGGCAAUGAGUUAAUAUAAUUUAUAUUCUACUUAAAAUAGAUUGAGAUGAAGAUCAAAGGAAAAAAGGAAUGAAAAGAAAGAAGUAAAAAUACUUUAACACUAGGGCUA
RNAcentral lists this long non-coding RNA (224 nucleotides) under Sorghum bicolor (sorghum). Its description in RNAcentral is "long non-coding RNA (SBIC_LNC004160)". The record is from RNAcentral. Lineage: Eukaryota; Viridiplantae; Streptophyta; Magnoliopsida; Poales; Poaceae.